Molecule: ribosomal RNA, 253 nt
Filed under: uncultured bacterium
Lineage: Bacteria
Description: partial 16S ribosomal RNA
Rfam family: Bacterial small subunit ribosomal RNA
Source: RNAcentral
UACGUAGGGUCCGAGCGUUGUCCGGAAUUAUUGGGCGUAAAGAGCUCGUAGGCGGUUUGUCGCGUCUGCUGUGAAAUCCCGAGGCUCAACCUCGGGCCUGCAGUGGGUACGGGCAGACUGGAGUGCGGUAGGGGAGAAUGGAAUUCCCGGUGUAGUGGUGGAAUGCGUAGAUAUCGGGAGGAACACCAGUGGCGAAGGCGGUUACCUGGAGCUUUGCUGACGCUGAUGCGCGAAAGCGUGGGGAGCGAUCCGG